GUGCCAUCUUUUGCUUCGGUGGAUAUUGUGCCGUCUUUUGCUUCGGUUGAUAUUGAUAUACCAUCUGGUUUGUGUCCUUUCUUUUUCGUUCGUUUGGUUUUUGCUGCUAUUGUGGACUAAAUGUUGUGAUUUGUUGUUGCAAGCAGGUAGUUGUGCCUUUGAUGCUUCUCGCAGGGAGGAGGUCCGUUUGGGCAAGCGUCGUGUUGAUUGUGGCCUUGGUUUGUGUUUUUGGCCCGAUGAAUUUUCAUUUUCCCUGUUGUUUAUCGUUAUUUAACAAUGUGGUUCACUUUGUAUAUACAGAUGUAUCUUUUUGCGGGUCAGAGGUGUCUGGGUCUGAUGUUAUUGGUGUUGCUGCCUCUUUGCCUUCU
Molecule: long non-coding RNA, 368 nt
Filed under: Triticum aestivum (bread wheat)
Lineage: Eukaryota; Viridiplantae; Streptophyta; Magnoliopsida; Poales; Poaceae
Description: long non-coding RNA (TAES_LNC015854)
Source: RNAcentral